This 21-nucleotide unclassified non-coding RNA is filed under the name Dictyostelium discoideum. Lineage: Eukaryota; Evosea; Eumycetozoa; Dictyosteliales; Dictyosteliaceae. The record is from RNAcentral.
GAGGCUUUUCCAUUAGUUCUU